GAUGAACGCUGGCGGCGUGCUUAACACAUGCAAGUCGAACGGGAAUUACUUUAUUGAAACUUCGGUCGAUUUAAUUUAAUUCUAGUGGCGGACGGGUGAGUAACGCGUGGGUAACCUGCCUUAUACAGGGGGAUAACAGUCAGAAAUGGCUGCUAAUACCGCAUAAGCGCACAGAGCUGCAUGGCUCAGUGUGAAAAACUCCGGUGGUAUAAGAUGGACCCGCGUUGGAUUAGCUGGUUGGUGGGGUAACGGCCCGACCAAGGCGACGAUCCAUAGCCGGCCUGAGAGGGUGAACGGCCACAUUGGGACUGAGACACGGCCCAGACUCCUACGGGAGGCAGCAGUGGGGAAUAUUGCACAAUGGGGGAAACCCUGAUGCAGCGACGCCGCGUGAAGGAAGAAGUAUCUCGGUAUGUAAACUUCUAUCAGCAGGGAAGAUAGUGACGGUACCUGACUAAGAAGCCCCGGCUAACUACGUGCCAGCAGCCGCGGUAAUGUCUGU
Molecule: ribosomal RNA, 502 nt
Filed under: uncultured bacterium
Lineage: Bacteria
Description: bacterial SSU rRNA
Rfam family: Bacterial small subunit ribosomal RNA
Source: RNAcentral